GGAUUGUGGCUCAAUGGUAGAGCACACGCCAAGCAUGGGAGGGACCCGGGUUCGAUUCUCAGCACCA
RNAcentral lists this transfer RNA (67 nucleotides) under Marmota monax (woodchuck). RNAcentral describes it as "tRNA.Ala". The record is from RNAcentral. Lineage: Eukaryota; Metazoa; Chordata; Mammalia; Rodentia; Sciuridae.